GCUAACUCUGUGCCAGCAGCCGCGGUAAUACAGAGGGUGCAAGCGUUGUUCGGAAUUAUUGGGCGUAAAGCGCGUGUAGGCGGCUUUGCAAGUCAGAUGUGAAAGCCCUCGGCUUAACCGAGGAAGUGCGUCUGAAACUGCAGAGCUUGAGUGUCGGAGAGGAUGGCGGAAUUCCGCAAGUAGAGGUGAAAUUCGUAGAUAUGCGGAGGAACACCGGUGGCGAAGGCGGCCAUCUGGACGACUACUGACGCUGAGACGCGAAAGCGUGGGGAGCAAACAGGAUUAGAUACCCUUGUAGUC
Molecule: ribosomal RNA, 300 nt
Filed under: uncultured Cystobacter sp.
Lineage: Bacteria; Pseudomonadati; Myxococcota; Myxococcia; Myxococcales; Archangiaceae
Description: bacterial SSU rRNA
Rfam family: Bacterial small subunit ribosomal RNA
Source: RNAcentral